Molecule: ribosomal RNA, 497 nt
Filed under: uncultured bacterium
Lineage: Bacteria
Description: partial 16S ribosomal RNA
Rfam family: Bacterial small subunit ribosomal RNA
Source: RNAcentral
GAUGAACGCUGGCGGCGUGCCUAAUACAUGCAAGUCGAGCGAACAGACGAGGAGCUUGCUCCUCUGACGUUAGCGGCGGACGGGUGAGUAACACGUGGAUAACCUACCUAUAAGACUGGGAAAACUUCGGGAAACCGGAGCUAAUCCCGUAUAAUAUCUUGAACCGCAUGGUUCAUUAGUGAAAGACGGUUUUGCUGUCACUAAUAGCGGGUUCCGCGCCGCAUUGGCUGGUUGGUAAGGUAACGGCUUACCAAGGCAACGAUGCGUAGCCGACCUGAGAGGGUGAUCGGCCACACUGGAACUGAGACACGGUCCAGACUCCUACGGGAGGCAGCAGUAGGGAAUCUUCCGCAAUGGGCGAAAGCCUGACGGAGCAACGCCGCGUGAGUGAUGAAGGUCUUCGGAUCGUAAAACUCUGUUAUUAGGGAAGAACAAAUGUGUAAGUAACUAUGCACGUCUUGACGGUACCUAAUCAGAAAGCCACGGCUAACUACGUG